CCUCAGAGACUGCAGCCUCCUGAGGUUCUAAAGUGGCGGCUUUGCGUUUCAGGCCUUUCUUUCCACCGCCGCCGUUCUUAUCCCCGGCCUUCGCCAUGGUGUUUUUGCUACUUGCGGUGCCAUGCACAUGAAACCAAAAGCUGUUUGUGGAGACUACCUUCAUGGCUUAUUGGUAAUAACAGAUCUAAGAGACUAAGCUAAACAUUGUAGAGAAUAAAAGACAUCAUGUUUACCCUCAAGUAGCCUACAGUUCAGAAGAAGAUGAAACACAUUUCUAGUUGCUGCACCACCCAGGAUACGAUGAAAAUAAAGAUGCCACCGACUGGAGGACAGCAGUAAUCUUCUGAGUUCAGAUUAUCUUAAACCAACAUGGAACCCCAAAGUCCAGGCUGUAGAAGGUCAUCUCUGAACCUCCUUGAAGGUCAGCAGUAAAGAAAGAGGGAAUUGAAGAUGGGGACCUGGGAUGUUGGUGGAGGACUUGACUGGCACCCUCUGUCACCCAUUUUCCUGUCUACCUAGCUCGGGGCAUCUUUUUUUUUUUUUUUUUUUUUCCUUUGCUUUUCCAGAAGCAAAGUCAAGGUGGGAACCAAGUGCAGAUUUGGCUGUUGGCACUCUUGGAUAACGAGGUACCAUUAUCUCACUUUUGUAGUCACAGGAGACAAGACUUCAGUGACUUCUGAGUCUUUGCAGUAUCUGCAGUGGCGAGCUUGUCUAAGGCUCUUGCUAUUAUACUGUGCUAUAAAAAGCACAUAACACAGUCUAAUACUUUUAUGUCGCAGUUGAAGUGUUAUGGGAUUUCAUUUUAUAAGAACCUUAAGUCCUAUACAUAAAUCAUUCUCAUGUCAGCGAGGCUUUGUGCUUUGUUUUUUUCCUGUAACUCACUCUGAAUUCAUCCAAGAUGAAUAUUUCUGAACCAGGCAGUUAGAAAAGACACUGUGGUGUAGUGGAAAAAGCUCAAGAUGGUGAAUCAGGAUCUCAGUUCCAGAAUGGACUUUGUUGCUGACCAGCUGAAUUAAGACCCUGGGCCUCAUUUUCUUGGUUUGUAAACUGAGGGAACUGCAUGAAAGGAAAUGUCACUGUGCUUUCAGCUUUAAUGUUCUGUUUAGGCUCAAGACCUUUGGUCCCUCCUUUCUACCUUCCUAAAUAAUGGAAUAUAGAGCAUUUGAAAAAAACUGUAUCAUCGGUUCAUUAAGUUCAGUGUGAGCUAAAUUGAAUCUAGACAACCUACCUAGUUUACAGAGGAGGGAACUAAGUGAGCACAAAAAAGGCAAGUUACUUGCCUAGGUCACACAACUAAUUAAGAGCAGGAACCUGACAUUUUUAUCAAUCGUGAAUGUUUUUCUCAGAAAAAUUCACCUCAUUGUCUUGUGGUGGUAGUGGUGGUGGUGGGUGUGGAAGAAACUGAGACGUUUUCACAAAAAAGUGAACUUCUGUUUCUGCUGAAAUGGCGCUGCUCAUUUUGAUAUUCCCUGCAUUUCUCAUGCCAAAAUACUGGUGGCUAUUAAAUGUGCAAAAGCAUGUGUUGGUUACUUUAGGAUUAUACAUAGAAACUCCUAGGAAAAAAGACGACUCUGUUCUUGAAGAAAGUAACACCUUUCUUUACUUUUCCCUUCUGUCUUCACUUUUUUUGUUUGUCUUUCUGCCAUUUCUUGGGCCGCUCCCAUGGCAUAUGGAGUUUCCCAGGCUAGGGGUCUAAUUGGAGCUGUAACCACCAGCCUACACCAGAGCCACAGCAACGUGGGACCCGAGCCGCAUCUGCGACCUACACCACAGCUCACGGCAAUGCUGGAUCCUUAACCCACUGAGCAAGGCCAGGGAUUGAACCCGCAACCUCAUGGUUCCUAGUUGUAUUUGUUUACCACUGAGCCACAAUGGGAACUCCUGUUUUCACUUUUAAAAGCAUGCUUAUUGUUCAAAUGGUAAAGAAGUUCAGAAAAGUGUGUUCAGACAGUCAAGAACCAGAAGUUCCAGUCCAGCCUCUGCAUGGGUUUUUGGAAAAUCUGAUGGAUGAAUAGCAUAAACUGACAUGAAUAAGAUACUCUUCUUUACAUGCUGUUUUCCUGCUCUGGAGCGAGUGUUGUCUAAAUAUGAACUCACAGGGUUUUUAGAGGCUGGCUCUUCCUGAAUUCUCUCUUGAACAGUGUCAGUAUUCUCUAGUUACACUUCAAACUUGAGUUAUCUUUCACUAGUCACUUCAAACUUGAGUUAUCUUUCACUAGUCGUUUCUCUGAUACAUUGAAACAGUUGCUAAACCCCAUGGAUUCCUUCUUUGCAAUCUGUGUUACGUCAGUUUUCCUUUUAUAAUUCCUAUUUUUCCUAUAUGUCACAUAAAGUCAUAUUUUGUGAGCAAUUAACAACACAGGUUUGGAGUCAGGCAAAACUGGUUUCAGUCCUAGCUCUGCCACUUACUACGUAUGUGUCAUUGCUCAAUCUCUCGGACUCUUAAUUACCUUAUCUGUAAACUGGGAAUCAUAAUUUUAUUGGCCUCAAAGAGUUGUUGUGAGAAUUAAAUGACAGGAUGUUGUGAGAAUACUCAGUAGAGUGCCUUGCACAUAGUAAGUGUUAAACAUGCAAUAGUAAUUGUUACUGUUCACUCCUCCUUGUCCAUCCUGCUUCCUGCUUGCAAAUUAAUCCUCUUAAAGCCCCGGUCUGACAUUCUCUCUUCCUUACUCCAAGAGAGGCCUCAUUUGCACCUGGACUACCUGAGUAAUCAUUCACUAGCUGUGAGAUCCUGAGCAUGUUUACAAACUUCUCUCUGCCUCAGUUUCCUCAUCUGUGAAAUAGGGAUAAUAGUACCUACUUCAAAGGGUUAUUAUGAAGUUUAUUAUUAUUUAAUGUUAAUAGUUAAUAUUUUAAAGUACCCAGCAUACAAGUUAAUAGUAGUUUUUGAUAAAUAAAAACCUACGUGCUCUUCUUAUAUUUACUAUUUUAUUUUUUUGCUUUUUAGGGCCACACCUGAGGC
Molecule: non-coding RNA, 2962 nt
Organism: Sus scrofa (pig)
Lineage: Eukaryota; Metazoa; Chordata; Mammalia; Artiodactyla; Suidae
Source: RefSeq, a predicted model, not a curated record